AGAUGUGAGGGUGAUCUGGCUGCGACCUCUGUCACCCCAUUGAUCGCCAGGGUUGAUUCGGCCGAUCUGGCUGGCUAGGCAGGUGUCCCCUUCCUGCUUCACCGCUCCAUGGGUGUCCCUCCCGAAGCUGCGCGCUCGGUCUAAGAGGACGACCUUCCCCAAAUAGAGGAGGACCGGUCUUCUGUCAAGGAUAUAUGAGCAGCUGCGCUCCCCUGCUAGAACCUCCAAACAAGCUCUCAAAUACAUACACCAUUUUUUAGGUUCUUUUUUUUUUUUUUUACAACUUCCAUAAUUAUAGACAAUAAACCAUG
RNAcentral lists this small nuclear RNA (311 nucleotides) under Jaculus jaculus (lesser Egyptian jerboa). RNAcentral's name for it is "7SK RNA (ENSJJAG00000007097.1)". It matches the Rfam family "7SK RNA". From Rfam's summary of the family: 7SK was discovered as an abundant small nuclear RNA in the mid-70s but a possible function has only recently been suggested. Two independent studies have found that 7SK RNA binds the CDK9/cyclin T complex (known as elongation factor P-TEFb). The record is from RNAcentral. Lineage: Eukaryota; Metazoa; Chordata; Mammalia; Rodentia; Dipodidae.